AUAGAUAAACACAACAAAGAACGGAUAGAAGAAAUAUCUAUGAGAUUAUUA
This 51-nucleotide non-coding RNA is filed under the name Trypanosoma lewisi. Lineage: Eukaryota; Euglenozoa; Kinetoplastea; Trypanosomatida; Trypanosomatidae. The record is from RNAcentral.